UACAGAGGUCCCAAGCGUUGUUCGGAUUCACUGGGCGGUAAAGGGCGCGUAGGCGGCACAGCAAGUCGGGAGUGAAAGCCCGGGGCUCAACCCCGGAAUGCUUUCGAAACUGCUGAGCUAGAGUACAGAAGGGGCAACCGGAAUUCCCAGUGUAGCGGUGGAAAUGACGUAGAUAUUGGGAAGAACACCUGAGGCGAAGGCGGGUUGCUGGGCUGAUACUGACGCUGAGGCGCGAAAGCCAGGGGAGCAAACGGG
RNAcentral lists this ribosomal RNA (255 nucleotides) under uncultured bacterium. RNAcentral describes it as "partial 16S ribosomal RNA". It matches the Rfam family "Bacterial small subunit ribosomal RNA", at positions 524 to 776 of the family's 1533-position model. The record is from RNAcentral.